UGUGCAGCAGGCCAACCGAGAAGCGCCUGCGUCUCCCAUUUUCGGGCUGGCCUGCUGCUCCGG
This 63-nucleotide microRNA precursor is filed under the name Homo sapiens (human). Its description in RNAcentral is "Hsa-Mir-3944_pre stem-loop". Lineage: Eukaryota; Metazoa; Chordata; Mammalia; Primates; Hominidae. The record is from RNAcentral.